CUCCCUUGACCUAGGAGGAGUGGCUGGGCUCUAUGUUGUUACCAUAUAUUGAUUUAAAGAGUGAGUGCUUAGACAUUACAGUGAACGAAUAUACCAAUAGAUUAACAGACUAAAUAUGAAGUGACGUACGUAUAUAGAAAACGGACUGAAUUAGUGAAUUGUUAGGAUCUUUAUGGACGUUUAUCAUUGCGUAAAGUGACGCUGAAGAUGAAUUACACAGACUCCAUUUCAUCUACUCAAGGAGAAAUGGAAGGGGCAAAGCUGUAAGUCCUGUAACACAAGGGAAGGGAGAAGAUGGAACGACUACCUUCAUCAGAGCGAGGAACAGCCAGAAAGAAGGGAUGAGAUGCCAUUACCAGUCAAGACUCAAUAAGCAGCAAAAAUAUCCACGAGGCACCGAGUAAGGGUUAAGUUAAGUGCAAGUUUACCGGUUUAGAAGUUUCACUGAUUAACGUAACCUUGCAGGGUGUUGCAGUUGCACAUCCAAAAUUAAAAGUAAUUAAGUGUUUAGAUUGACACUUAUUAAAUUUGAAUUUAUAUGUAUAUGUCAUUGCAGGUCCAUAAACCACAUAUUUGUGAUUUGUUGACCCGUGAGCCUUGGUGUGUCAGGGGAGGAUACUAGAUGUUCUCUGCCUGCCAUACUGUAGUGUACUAACACCUGCCCCGCCAGUGCUGGAAACUUAUAACGGUGCCAACUUCAGGUAGUGAGACACACCGAGGCUUGUUAAAUGUUCAGCUUUAGGGAACAGUUCUACUAACACACAUGUUUACAGGGUAGGUCCUAGUGUCUGUGUUGUGUUGUAGUCAGCACAGAUGAGUAGUAUUUUUAUGUCACUUCACCUCAAGAUGCAAAGAAGACAAAGUGAAGAAAUAGUAAAAAGGUGUAAUAGUGGAAGACAAAGUGAAGAAAUAGUAAAAAAGUGUAAUAGUGGAAGACAAAGUGAAGAAAUAGUAAAAAAGUGUAAUGGUGGAAGACAAAGUGAAGAAAUAUUAAGAAAGUUUAAUGGUGGAAGACAAAGUGAAGAAAUAGUAAAAAAAGUGUAAUAGUGGAAGACAAAGUGAAGAAAUAGUAAAAAAGUUUAAUGGUGGAAGACAAAGUGAAGAAAUAUUAAGAAAGUUUAAUGGUGGAAGACAAAGUGAAGAAAUAGUAAAAAAGUUUAAUGGUGGAAGACAAAGUGAAGAAAAACAGUAAGAAAGUUUAAUGGUGGAAGACAAAGUGAAGAAUUGGUGAUGCACUGAGAAUAUUACCAUCUCCGCCUAACACACAUACAAGUCAGGUCUUGCUGUCGAAGAGUCUGACGCCCUUCUACAACGAGCUCAGAGUUACUCACCUCUUCCCUCUGUACCGAAUACUGGGAAGAGGUGACGGGAAUAAUAGGCUAAACAUACAGACACAGAAUGGGAGGGAAAUAGGAGG
Long non-coding RNA from Homarus americanus (American lobster), 1417 nucleotides. RefSeq lists it as uncharacterized. Lineage: Eukaryota; Metazoa; Arthropoda; Malacostraca; Decapoda; Nephropidae. The transcript has 5 exons. The record is from RefSeq and is a predicted model, not a curated record.